UUGAACGCUGGCGGCAGGCCUAACACAUGCAAGUCGAACGGUAGCACAGAGAGCUUGCUCUCGGGUGACGAGUGGCGGACGGGUGAGUAAUGUCUGGGAAACUGCCUGAUGGAGGGGGAUAACUACUGGAAACGGUAGCUAAUACCGCAUAACGUCGCAAGACCAAAGAGGGGGACCUUCGGGCCUCUUGCCAUCAGAUGUGCCCAGAUGGGAUUAGCUAGUAGGUGGGGUAAAGGCUCACCUAGGCGACGAUCCCUAGCUGGUCUGAGAGGAUGACCAGCCACACUGGAACUGAGACACGGUCCAGACUCCUACGGGAGGCAGCAGUGGGGAAUAUUGCACAAUGGGCGCAAGCCUGAUGCAGCCAUGCCGCGUGUAUGAAGAAGGCCUUCGGGUUGUAAAGUACUUUCAGCGGGGAGGAAGGUGUUGUGGUUAAUAACCACAGCAAUUGACGUUACCCGCAGAAGAAGCACCGGCUAACUCCGUGCCAGCAGCCGCGGUAAUACGGAGGGUGCAAGCGUUAAUCGGAAUUACUGGGCGUAAAGCGCACGCAGGCGGUCUGUCAAGUCGGAUGUGAAAUCCCCGGGCUCAACCUGGGAACUGCAUCCGAAACUGGCAGGCUUGAGUCUUGUAGAGGGGGGUAGAAUUCCAGGUGUAGCGGUGAAAUGCGUAGAGAUCUGGAGGAAUACCGGUGGCGAAGGCGGCCCCCUGGACAAAGACUGACGCUCAGGUGCGAAAGCUUGGGGAGCAAACAGGAUUAGAUACCCUGGUAGUCCACGCUGUAAACGAUGUCGACUUGGAGGUU
RNAcentral lists this ribosomal RNA (805 nucleotides) under Klebsiella sp. KSUM_75. RNAcentral's name for it is "bacterial SSU rRNA". It matches the Rfam family "Bacterial small subunit ribosomal RNA", at positions 29 to 825 of the family's 1533-position model. The record is from RNAcentral. Lineage: Bacteria; Pseudomonadati; Pseudomonadota; Gammaproteobacteria; Enterobacterales; Enterobacteriaceae.